AUGCGAUACUUGGUGUGAAUUGCAGAAUCUCGUGAACCACUGAGUCUUUGAACGCAAGUUGUGCCCGAGGCCUUGUGGUUGAGGGCACGCCUGCUUGGGCGUCAUGGCAUCGUCGCUUUUUCUCCAUGCUUUGCUGGUGGGGAGUGCGGAUAUUGGCCCCGUGUGCCCUCGGGCACAGUCGGUUGAAGAGUGGGAAGUCGGCAGUGGUCGGGCACGAUGGGUGUUGGUCGCCGUGAGCGGGAACUAAACGUCGUCCCUGUCAUGUCGGGAUGAGUCCUCAAGAGACCCUGUGUGAUUGCGGCGUCGGGUGAAAGUGCCGUGUCCAUCAAAUUGUGGCCCCAAGUCAGGCGAGGCCACCCGCCGAAUUUAAGCAUAUCAAUAAG
This 383-nucleotide ribosomal RNA is filed under the name Gagnepainia thoreliana. RNAcentral's name for it is "eukaryotic LSU rRNA". The stretch from base 1 to 104 matches the Rfam family "5.8S ribosomal RNA", at positions 53 to 154 of the family's 154-position model. The record is from RNAcentral. Lineage: Eukaryota; Viridiplantae; Streptophyta; Magnoliopsida; Zingiberales; Zingiberaceae.